This is an RNA transcript of Acanthopagrus latus (yellowfin seabream), 2373 nucleotides long. RefSeq lists it as uncharacterized. Lineage: Eukaryota; Metazoa; Chordata; Actinopteri; Spariformes; Sparidae. The transcript has 8 exons. The record is from RefSeq and is a predicted model, not a curated record.
CAUCCUAGGAGAAAGAAAAACAGUGAAGAUAAUGUACACUGCGGCCAUAUCUGUGCUCCUUGUGAGAAACGUGGCUCUUGUCUGUGGCACAGAAGUAACUGGAAACACAGGGCUCAUGACUUUAGCAGCACAGACCGAGACUGAACCCCGCAUUACAGAUUAAGAGCCGCUGUUUUCAAACUUUGCCUCAGUUUAACGCCUGCAACAGGCUCCCUCUCUCCUCCUGGCUCCUGUGUCUCCAGCCCAGCAUCACGUCAAAGCGUGCAAUAGAGCCGUCGAUCCGCUAGAGGAUACUGUGCUAGUGUCACGUUUUGCCUCUCUUUGUAUAAAGGUAGCUACAGUAACAGCAGGAGGUGAUCAUUUCACAGUACAGACAGCUCAGUCGUUACAGAGCAUCUUUGCCAUUAGCAACGACUCCUCACAGACCAAAGACAAGUAUACAGUUUAUCCAAGCUCCUUUCCCCCCCAGCUCCUGUUGAUACCCGCCACUGUUAACCGCAUAACAUCCAUCAGUACCUCCUGUAUUAAAAAACCAACAGCUCAAAAAUGCCAAGCAACGGGUCAACCACCAAAAGGUGUGUGUUCUGCCACACGCAGCUCGGUGUAGCCUGCAAGACGUGCAAGGCGUGCAAGGCAGAGCAGCCACGUAAGCUGAGGCUCAAAAGGAAAAUGGACAGGUUCGAUCAGAAGCGCGACAGCUGGGUCCACUCCCAUCAGAAGUAUCAUACCGUCUCUCACAUCCGGGACGAAGCGUACAUGUUGCUGGAAAAACUGCAAGCCCUGGGAAUCAGGGCUGUUUUGCUUAUGGCUAGGCCAGUCAGAAAGACAAAUGCCUGGCAGUCUGAGGUAUUGACACCCCGCUGUGAGCUGACUGAGACAUCAAGUACAUUUCUGCAAAGGAUGAAGGACGUCUAUGAUAUUGUUGUGAAAGUGCUUCUUCAAUGGAGGCUGGACCCCACAAGGUGCUGCAGGACAGCUGGACGAAGCCUUCUCAGCCCGGGUUGAACUCCCAGCUGGACCACGAGUGGCCUCAGCAGAUCUCCAGACGGCACUGUCCCUGCUCGAUCCCCAAGCAGCCUCCACUGGACCACCAACGGUCCUGAAUCAACCACCAGCAGCCCCAGUUGACCUCCCAGCAGCCCUGUUUGGACAACUGAGGUCCACAAUUGGACAUCCAGCAGCUCUGUUACGACCCUUAGCACACCAUGAAGCUCUAGAGCAGCAAACACUGGACCUCCAGAGGAAAGGACAUCCAGAAGCCUCCCAAGUUUUUCUUGAAAAAGGCGGACUGAGAGAAAUCAAAACAGAAGCAGGAGAUUCUCCCACACCUCUGUAUGCACCAGCUACCUCGUCCCUCGACAUCAAAACCGAACCCGAGGACAUCGAAACAACCAGCAAUCACACUGCCGACCUCAUGCCCUCGCCUGUGCUGCUAGUCACUGUGACAGACGCAGGUUUUGUUGAUGGCGGCCCUCACACCAAAUCCCAGAGUGUUAUGGAUGAGUGUAAAUAUCGGAACAGAGAUGCCACCACCUGUAGUUACGAUGCAGCAGAGUUACAAGCGAUGCAGCUCGACACAAGGAUUCCCCAAACAACCCAAGCCUCACACAACACUCAGUCCUUCAACAUGGUGGAGGCUUCAUCCUAUCAGCCCUCCACCAGCUGUGAUCUGGACACAAUGGACCUCGAUCAGCUGAGGAGGGAAAAAAUAAAGAUGCAGAUAAAAGUGUUGAGGUUACAAGAGGAACACUACACUCUGAAAAUAAAGGGACAUAAAAAAAUGAAUUUUUUUCACUGAAGCCUGGUUGUAAAGCCUAUGGCUGCAACAGGACAAUACGGCCACUCAGGGAUCACCGAGGGAGUUUGCUGGUCUACCAGAAACACUCCCAUCAGUUAUCAACUUCAUCAUCAACUUUAAAUUCCAUCUGUGAAUGGAAGCCCGAUUUACCUCCCACAAACUUGAAACAGCAAAAACAGGUACAGGUGAUGCAAAGUAACAAGAUCCAGUAUUUAUUUAAUCCCAUUUUUGAAACUUGUGAGAGUACAGAAGCUACAUCACAUGAACAUUUUUAAUGGGUAUGUGCCUCAAUACUUGUGUUCUCAGAUAACAAUGGUCCCAUACUGCACACAACUAUAUCAUUUAAAGUGCCUUAAGUGAAUAAUGUAGCUAGUUUAAAUUAUGUCGAUGUGUUUUUGGAUUUCAAGACUGUGUCAUUAUGUUGAAUGUCUCGUGCGUCUUAGUGUUUCCUCUGUCUUCUUCCAUGCAGGAAAAAAAGCAUUUCCCUUGACACGUUAUCCUUGGGAUUUUUGCUUUUGGUUCUGUGUCUGACAAUUUAUAAAUAAAAUCAAGUCGGUUCUGUGACAAGCCUAAAA